This 490-nucleotide ribosomal RNA is filed under the name uncultured bacterium. Its description in RNAcentral is "bacterial SSU rRNA". It matches the Rfam family "Bacterial small subunit ribosomal RNA", at positions 28 to 526 of the family's 1533-position model. The record is from RNAcentral.
GAUGAACGCUAGCGGCGCGCCUAACACAUGCAAGUCGAACGGGGUCUUUUGGAGCUUGCUUUGGAAGACCUAGUGGCGGACGGGUGAGUAACACGUGAGCAACCUGCCGAAGAGUGGGGGAUAACGUCUGGAAACGGACGCUAAUACCGCAUAAUAUAUCCGGGUGGCAUCGCCUGGAUAUCAAAGGAGUAAUCCGCUUUUUGAUGGGCUCGCGCCCGAUUAGGUAGUUGGUGGGGUAAUGGCCCACCAAGCCGACGAUCGGUAGCCGGACUGAGAGGUUGAUCGGCCACAUUGGGACUGAGACACGGCCCAGACUCCUACGGGAGGCAGCAGUGGGGAAUAUUGGGCAAUGGGCGCAAGCCUGACCCAGCAACGCCGCGUGAAGGAAGAAGGCUUUCGGGUUGUAAACUUCUUUGACCAGGGAAGAAACAAAUGACGGUACCUGGAAAACAAGCCACGGCUAACUACGUGCCAGCCGCCGCGGUAAGAC